AAUUGAUCAUAAAUAAUGCAUGCUUUGUCUUUAAACACCAAAGAAUAAUUCUUUUCUAAGAGAGUUGUCCUACACUAAGGAGAUUUUGGUCUAUUUUUGGUACAAAUAAAACAUCUGGAAUAAUUUUUGUACCCGACUAUGUCUCAACUGUCGCAUCUCUUCUUUCUUUGACUUCUAUGAACUCAUCAUUACCAAUUCUAACUUUGGAACAACAAGUUUUAACUAGAUCCUUGAAUAAGCUGAUGUUUGAUGCCAUAUGAUGAGUGCAUCCACAAUCAAUGAGUCAUGCACUCAAAGAUGUUUUUGUUGCAUAACAAGAACCAAAAAUUUGUUCAUCCUCUCGUUGUGGGGUAUUUGCUACUCUAGCUUGUUGAUCUUAUUGUUGUGGGUUUUUGUUCUUGCGAACUUUCUCCACAUGGCCAAGUUAUUUGCAAGACCAGCAUUAUAUAUUUGGUUUGUAUUGGUAAUAUUUACCUAAAUGAGUAGGUUUUUUUUUCUUUACAAUGUGAACAAGUUGGAAAUUUACUUUUCUUUCCAUUGUUUCUUCUAUCUCUUGAUUUUUUUUUUUGCCCUCAAGUUGCAUAUUUCCUUUUUCCUUUGACUACAAAUGCACCUUCUAUUGAAUCCUCUUACCUAAUAUCCCUCAUUUGCUCUUGAGCCUCGAGAGCGUUCAUUAGUUCUAGGAAAGAAAUCUUACUCAAGCCUUUGGAGUCUUCAAGAGAAGAGAUUUUGGAUUCAAACCUCUCAAGUAAAUUGAGAAGAACUUUUUCUAAUAAUAUUUUAUUUGUCAUCUCCUCUCUAAGUAAUUUGAGCUUUUUCACUAUUUUCAUGACUCUUUCUUUGUACUCCUUUAGAAUUUCAAACUCUUUCAUCUUCUAAACUUCAAACUCCCUUUUGAAGCUAAGCACUUGCAUUUGUCUAGUCCUAUCACUACCUUGGAACUCCUCAUUGAACAUGACCUUAGUUUUCUUUACAGUCUCACGUGUCAUGGUUCUAAUGAAAAUUUUAUCGAUAACGGAUGACUCAGUACAACUUUUGGCUUUGUAUCUCUUUUCCUUCUCUUCACUAUGAUUCUUUAAUUAGGUCAUAAUUGGAUUGGUCUGAAGUUGGGGUGGUUCCUUGUUAUUUUCAAUCACAUCCCAAAUAUCAAAAGCACUCAAAUAUGUCUUCAUUUUGACAACCCAUAUCUGAUAGUUUUCAUUCGAAAAGAUAGGUGGUGGAGGCAAAAAGCAAUUAUUUGAAGCCAUAUGGUGUUAACAAAUGAUAGCUAGCUCUUAACACAACUCUUAAGCAUUUGUAAGCCCUUUAAGAUCAAAGAAAGCUCUUGAUACCAAAUUGUUGGAAGGAAGAAAAGGAACAAGGGAGAAGUUUUGAGAGAAAAACUUAAAGAAGAGAUUAAAGUAAGAACAAGUUUUUUUUUG
Molecule: long non-coding RNA, 1421 nt
Filed under: Gossypium raimondii (Peruvian cotton)
Lineage: Eukaryota; Viridiplantae; Streptophyta; Magnoliopsida; Malvales; Malvaceae
Description: long non-coding RNA (GRAI_LNC002291)
Source: RNAcentral